This 253-nucleotide ribosomal RNA is filed under the name uncultured prokaryote. Its description in RNAcentral is "partial 16S ribosomal RNA". It matches the Rfam family "Bacterial small subunit ribosomal RNA", at positions 524 to 776 of the family's 1533-position model. The record is from RNAcentral.
UACGUAGGCAGCGAGCGUUGUUCGGAGUUACUGGGCGUAAAGAGUGUGUGGGUGGUUCUCUAAGUUUGGUGUGAAAUCUCCCGGCUCAACUGGGAGGGUGCGCCGAAAACUGGAGGGCUUGAGUAUGGGAGAGGAAAGCGGAAUUCCUGGUGUAGCGGUGAAAUGCGUAGAUAUCAGGAGGAACACCUGCGGUGUAGACGGCUUUCUGGACCAUUACUGACACUGAGACACGAAAGCGUGGGGAGCAAACAGG